AGCUUGGUUGGGUUGUAGUUACCCGACGCAAACUUUUUCAUCACCUGUGCACUGUUUGUAGACUUGGGUCAGGAAAGCUUGGUUUUGCAUAAUCUGGUUUUCCUUACAUUUUCUGGUCUACGUAUUUUUAUUACACGCUCAGUCUGUCUUGGAAUGUUAUUUAGCGGGCUUCAUUGCCUUUAAAUCUUGUA
Molecule: unclassified non-coding RNA, 191 nt
Filed under: Tricholoma bakamatsutake
Lineage: Eukaryota; Fungi; Basidiomycota; Agaricomycetes; Agaricales; Tricholomataceae
Description: partial miscellaneous RNA
Source: RNAcentral